UUACUUUUAUUCAUAUUAUGAUACUUCUUAUUUACAUCCAUACUAUUACAACUUAAAUUUAAAUAUCUUUACUAAAACUUUUAGAAGAAAUAAAAUAAAAAUUAAAAAUAGAAAUGGGGAAAUAAGGAUGGGAAUUUCACCAAAUCUUCAUUCAUCCCUUCCCUGAAUAAGAUGUUGGAUAUAAAAUUAUUUCUAUCCCAUCUCCAAAUAAGAAAUUAGAUAUAAAAUUGUCUCUGUACCAGCAACCUCAUCGUAUCCAAAGCAACAAGAUCCCUCCAACCCCUCAUCAACAUAACAGUGCAUAAAUGCUCUAUAAAGUAUAGUUAAAACUCUAAAUUUUCCCUUAAUUUAAAGAAUCUAAUUUAUCUUCACAAAAUUACAUAAUCAAACUUAAUCUACAAAUAACUCUAAAACCUGAUUCAUAAACAUCCAAUCACUCAAAACAUUAAAUUUGAUUUCAUAAACACUCAAUCAAACCCAAUUUACACUGUCAUAGCCACUAUAGCUGCUAAUCUUCGUUGUUGUUGCGGCUUUCACCAACCUCAUGGUUAGUUGAACCACCACAAGACUCCUCCAUGGCUAUCUUCAUGGCUCUAUGCAUGUUUUUAUCCAUUACCCCAGAUAAUUGAAGGAUUUGAUACAAAUUCUGUGUUGAUUUUAUGAACCCUACAAGUUUAGAGAGAGGGAAGAUACGAAAGAAGAUAGUGGGAUGUAUUUUUAUUUAAUUUUGGUUUCAAUGGCUAUGAAGUAUGAUACAAAUUGUGGUUAGGGCCAAAACCGUUAGUGGAUUUUGUUUUGAAGUAAAGAUUUUAAUGGGUUUAUUGAGUUUUGAUUUUUUAAAAUUUUAUUUUAUUAUUUACAAUAAUGUUAGAAUUUCAACAUUUUCUAAUGCUAUAUUUUACUCAUUUAUUCAAUGAUAGAUUUUAUAUAUUGUAAAAUUACUUAAUCACCAUAUAAUGAAGGAAUGCCACAUACGUUGGAAUUCAAAUUAGAACUUAGAUGUUGGAAUGCUUAUCAUUGCUUUUAUUAUUCAUAGUGCAAAGUCAAAAAUGUCCUUUGAAUUUAAAGCUAAAAUGAUCUACUUAAAUUAUGUUAAAUAUUCUAACAAUAUUAAAAUUUUAGUGAAUGAUUAAUACAAAUUACAAACUUAGAGAAAAUUUAAACAAAUUCAAAUUUUUAUACUAACUUUGAUAAAAAUAAAACUUGGGGUGCAUGCGUGAUAAUUUUUUUCAUUUUUUUAAUAUUAUGGGCCAGUUUUGUGAUGAUUUCAAUGAGAAGCUUCGAUGGCAUUAUGCCUUAUGGCAUGACAUGCAUUUAAUAUGUUAAAAUUAUUCUUUUAUUUUAAAAAUUGUAAAUUAUUGUUGAUUUAUCGUGUUUGAUGGCCCACAUACAAGUCACAAUAUUCAAAAUGACGCGCCAACCAAAUUAUUGGAAGGUGCCAUAAUAUUUUAAAUGUCCCUCAUUUUUUAAUAGAGUAAUUUUCCGUCCGCCCAAUAAAACCACACCGCGCGGACCCUACAAACUAACAAUGUGUUGCCUGUCACAUCUAAAUAUGUCAAUUUGAAAGGGUAAGUUCGAAGGUUUGAGUCAUUAAAUUAAUUUUUUUUUAAAUUCUCCUUCAUUUAUUUUGUUUUUAUUUUAUUUUUACCCUCUUACAACAACAGAAUCAGACCCAUUAAUGAUACUGUUACUGAAGUUACGUUAAAUGUAACUUAGACCCCUUUUUAUUUUUUUUUCCCUCUUCGUUUCUUCUUUUUUUUCUUCUUCAUAUUUGAUUGAAGAACAUUAAUUAUCAUGACAUAGCUCACACAUAUCGACAGAUUCCCACUGCGUGAUUUUUAUGCAUCAACUACUUUACACGCUCAAAGCUUCUAAUGCCACCACUCAUGAUUACCGCUGCUCAUAAAUUUCUUUUGGGUUUAGUAUUAUAGAAUAGGAUUCGAUUCAUUAUUUAAGUUUAUUUAAAAUUAUUAUUCAGGAGUUUGAAACCCUAAACAAAGUAAUCGAAAUCAACUGUGUCAACUUAUGAUUAUUAUAGCAUCCACUAGACGAAUAUCAUAAUAAAUACAUGAAACUAUAAUAGAAAAAAUAAUACAAAUAGCAAUAUAUUAUUACACAAAUCUUAAAAAUUAUUCUAAAAGAUUUGACACGAAGUGAUUGGUUACAAAACUUUUGAGAUACAAAUUAUGCAUCUCAGCUAUAUAUUUAACAUAACAUUAAUGGAAAUGUGUUAAUUUAGGGUUUGCUCGACUCAAACUCAGUGUAGCAUCGUCAUUAUCUUUAACAAAAGCGGCUAAUAAUUCAUCAAUAUAGAUUAAUUUGUCAUUAGGUGUAUAUGCAUUACGAAAAAUGAUAUUUAUACAAAAGAGUGAUAAAAUAAGCUCUAAAACUACGUAAUUUUGGUUGUUAAAAAGAUUUUAAAAACAAUAAAAUAACGUAAUUUUGGUGAUUUUUAUUACCUUUUUAUCACCGUUUUAUACAAAAAUCAUUGCUCCACGCCUCUACAAAUUGAUUAGUGGCCUUGGACUGCAGCUCUGUACUUUCACAUCCACUAACUUCUGGUUGCACAAUUCGGCUUGGCUCCUUUGCUUUUUGCCCACAAAAAUGAGUAGAACCCAACAACUAUUAUGACAGAGCCCAGCACGCUGAUUAUAAAACUUUUGAUUAGGAAAAACAAAGAAAAAUAAAAUGUUAUGUUACAAACGGACGUUCCAAUUCUGAUUUCUUGACCGAGUAUUAAAAGCGUCCAAUAUGGCCACGAUAAUUAGGGUCGGCAAAUAACCCCCAAUCUAGGAUUGGAUUGGAGCCAAAUGAAGUCUCCAAUUAGGUUGGGUGGGAUUUGGCUAACCCAAUCCGAUUGUGAUUAGAUCAGGUUAAACUCAAAACAAAUAGAAAAUUUGACUAGGUUGACACUAAAUUAAAAAAAAAAAUUGUUUUAGAUAUAAUCUUAGGAGUGGACAAAUAAUCAACCUGACUCGAUCGAUUGACCUGAUUCGAUCCAAUAGUAGUAGUUUAUUUUAUUUUUAUUUAUUUAAUUUCAUAAUAGUAAUUUUCCUUUUUUGUGAAAAUUGGUAAAAAAAUGAUUAAAAUGAGAUAAUUACAUAAAAAUAACAUGCUACUAACUAAAAUAAUUUGAAAAGAAAACUCAAAAUGAACAAAAAAGACUCGAAAUUACUGCCAAUCUAAAUAUUAUUGGAUUCCAUCCUAAUUGACUCAAAUAUGAUUUUAACCUGAACUCAACUCCUAUGUAAUCAUAAUCCAAUCUAAUUCAAACUCAACCUGAAUUUUUUUUAUCAAAUUUGAAUUAAAUUUGGACUACCUUUUUCCCUAUAUGAUCAACCCGAAGUCUAAUCAGGUUGAUCUGAACCCAAUUUGAAACUGAAUUUGCUUACCCAUACCCACGAAUACGAGAGACAAUAGGGUUUAGAAUUGAAGGAUAUAUUGGCCAUCGCUUUGCAAUCACCCAUGAUAGUAAGCAAAAUUUUGCUACCGUUACAACUCCCUGCACAAGUUACUAAAAAAUGUUAAAGAGACAUAAUGUUGAUACAAAUAACCAGGCCAAACAUAGUAAGCUACAUUCAACCAAAACUUUUUUUAUGUCGUUACCAUCAACACCAAUUCUAUUAUGACACAAUCCAUAAUUUCAAUUCUAUUAUGACACAGUCCAUAAUUUUACACUCACAAAUAUUAAAGCGAUAUUUAUUCUACCCACAAAUUAGUGGGAGAGAUGCCUACCUCGAUAUUGUUUGUAAUUAGGAGAGGAAAUGAGAAUCCUUAUAGAGUUUUGAACCGUAGCUCUCAGUUAAAGGGCGAGUGGCAAAGCUAGAGCCAUUAAAACUUAACUUUUACAAAUGGUUUUUGAUAACAAGGCUUAUUGAGUGAAAUAUGGUAACAAGUUGCAAAUCCCACCUUAAUCUCCAAAUAGACUUCUGUAUAUCUAAGCAUAAUCCUAAUAUCAUUGGUUGAAUGGAUCCAAUUAUGCAUGUUCGCAUUGUUACCCAAUAUUUGAAUGGAAAUAUUUUCAACAAUUUCACCUGCGCAUAAUUCAUAUACAUAUAUAAUCAGUUCACAAUGCACUCACUAGUCAAUACUCAAGGUGCCAAGUACCAAUUAGAUUGUUUAGUAUUAAAGUGUUGUAUCAUUUAAUUUAUAGUUGCUGAAAAAAAAUUGUAAUU
Molecule: long non-coding RNA, 4175 nt
Filed under: Citrus x clementina
Lineage: Eukaryota; Viridiplantae; Streptophyta; Magnoliopsida; Sapindales; Rutaceae
Description: Citrus clementina (C. clementina) long non-coding RNA (CCLE_LNC004086)
Source: RNAcentral